CGAUUAUUGCUAGUUGAAAACUUUACCCAAUACCCCGCCUUGACGACUUGAAAUAUAGUCGGCAAUGGCAAUUUUUGACGGUCUCUAUGGAGA
Small nuclear RNA from Neolamprologus brichardi, 93 nucleotides. RefSeq annotates it as U4 spliceosomal RNA. The record is from RefSeq and is a predicted model, not a curated record. NCBI's taxonomy places the organism in Eukaryota, Metazoa, Chordata, Actinopteri, Cichliformes, Cichlidae.